RNAcentral lists this unclassified non-coding RNA (1177 nucleotides) under Hevea brasiliensis (rubber tree). Lineage: Eukaryota; Viridiplantae; Streptophyta; Magnoliopsida; Malpighiales; Euphorbiaceae. The record is from RNAcentral.
UUUUAAAAUAAAAUUAUUUUUUUUAUUAUAAGAUAGAUUUCAUAAAGAAAAAUUAGUUAUACAGUCUUAGCCCAAUAACAGAAGCUCAGUUACAAAGUACCGCUAAACCCAGAUAAAAAUAAGCCCAAACCUUAUAAAACAAAACCCUAAUCUAUUCGGGUAAUCCAAAAGAAAUGGGCAGAAACCAAAUCUCAAUGAUGUAGUGCCGUUGGAAAAAAGAAAGGAGACCAAAUGGAGCAUAGGGGCAAAGCUCUUUUGACCAGAGGAUGAGGAGACGGCGAUGAAGCUCGGAGAAAUCCUGCAGAACGAUUGCCCAUACGUCAUCACAAAAGGUAAAAACAUAUAACCAAGCAGAAAAGCCAUGAAGCACCAGAGCAUGGAGAACAUAUAACCCAGAUCGCCAUUGCAUGCAAGACUAACAGCUCUCAGAACGUGAUGGGGCAAAGCUCUAAACUAUAACAACAGUUUUGGGGGUUGGCCAUGAGAGGUAGUGCCAGCUAGAGACCCGUGAGGUGCCAUCAUCUCCUAAAACAUAUCCCCCUCUCAGAGCAAGAAGCGAAGCACAUAUGGAGUUUCCACCUACAUGCAAGAACAAACAACACAACUCAAUUGUAGACCAAUCGAAGUCCUCUCUAAGCAGUCAUGGGUCUACCACCAAAAUCUCUUACUCAUAACUUUAUUUAUGGACAAACCCCAUCCAGAGAGGGGAGGACACAACCCACGUCUUGGAUAAGGGAGGAAGUCCCUCCUGCCUAGAUGGGACAGAGGGAACCACUGAACGACAGUAGCAGAGAUCGAAACGCCUCAAAUGAAGAAGCUUCGAAUAGGGGAAGAGUUUUUGCUUUUCUUUGUAGAAAAUUGCUUUUCAACAGUUAUAUGGGUAUGCCCAACAGUUCGAAUUAAACUAAACUAACCAACCAUCAACCAUAACAUAUAAUUAAUUUAAUUUUAAACAAUUUACUUCAGUUUCCUCUCUUUUCCAAUUAACACUGUAAAAGCUAAAAAAGGGCACUCUCCAGCUUUCACAUGAAGAAGGGUUAGAGCCAAGAAACAAGAAAUGUAAGAGGCUCUGAUAAAAAAUCAAAAGAAUUUCUUUGGAUAAAAGGGUGUAAAAGAAUAAGGAAAAAAAAGGAUAAAGCGGAUUAUAAAUAAAAAAUUUUAAUUUUUGAAAAUGGAG